Molecule: ribosomal RNA, 468 nt
Filed under: uncultured bacterium
Lineage: Bacteria
Description: partial 16S ribosomal RNA
Rfam family: Bacterial small subunit ribosomal RNA
Source: RNAcentral
GACGAACGCUGGCGGCGUGCUUAACACAUGCGAGUCGAACGGAAAGGCCCUGCUUUUGUGGGGUGCUCGAGUGGCGAACGGGUGAGUAACACGUGAGUAACCUGCCCUUGACUUUGGGAUAACUUCAGGAAACUGGGGCUAAUACCGGAUAGGAGCUCCUGCUGCAUGGUGGGGGUUGGAAAGUUUCGGCGGUUGGGGAUGGACUCGCGGCUUAUCAGCUUGUUGGUGGGGUAGUGGCUUACCAAGGCUUUGACGGGUAGCCGGCCUGAGAGGGUGACCAGCCACAUUGGGACUGAGAUACGGCCCAGACUCCUACGGGAGGCAGCAGUGGGGAAUAUUGCACAAUGGGCGGAAGCCUGAUGCAGCAACGCCGCGUGCGGGAUGACGGCCUUCGGGUUGUAAACCGCUUUCGCCUGUGACGAAGCGUGAGUGACGGUAAUGGGUAAAGAAGCACCGGCUAACUACGUG